This is a long non-coding RNA of Taeniopygia guttata (zebra finch), 2000 nucleotides long. RefSeq lists it as uncharacterized. NCBI's taxonomy places the organism in Eukaryota, Metazoa, Chordata, Aves, Passeriformes, Estrildidae. The record is from RefSeq and is a predicted model, not a curated record.
AGAUGCGCUGGCUUUUAAAUAAAUUAUAAUAAAGUCAUAGAUUACGUCAUAUUCAGCGUGUUCCUCACCUGCGAACCGAGGUAACUCCUUGUCUAAAAGCAUUGCCAGCCUUCCUUUGCUCCUUCAUGUGUUGUUCUUGCCAGGUUUCCUCAGUGUUUAAACGUGCUCCCGAAUUUAGGUAUCACCAGCAACUCUCUGAAAAAGAAAAGAGAAGUUACACAGAAAAAGCAAAGGCCCGGUGUCUCCCUGCUGCCAGUGCCCCGAGCGCAGCCUGCCCUGCCCUGCCACGGCUGUGGGCACUGUGGCGGCACGGACCAGGGCCCACACAGUUCAUGUUCCCGUCAGAACCAAGCUACACAGUGAGGUGAUGACUGAAAUGUAUGGGUGACCCUUACCAGGCAAUGUUUUCUUCAUCUCUUCUGACCUAGAAUUCCUUUUUGACCCAGCCAUCCAGGAGCAGCAAUACAGUUGCAGUUUCCCAGUUGAACAGCUGAGAUCCCAUUAUUCUGCGUGGUGCAGCAUGCAGAGUUCUGAGUGCUUCUAUUCAUCGUGUGAAAUCUGCAGCAACGUGUUAGGAUGGAUCAUGGAUGAGCCUCAGGAUGCUCAGGACAGUGAGUGUGCAGCCUGCCUAUGUUGCCUCCUCUUCACAUGAAAACCUUUGAUCUUAUAUCACCUAGAGGAUUACUUGCGGUAACGAGGAAGCCAUGAGAAAUUUUAAUUUUGUAAUUUAAACACAUUUUCUUGUGCUUUAGAGCCUGAGUGCAGUGUUUUCAUCUGCAGAAAUAAAGGAACAUUUGUGUAUAAACGUGAGAACUGAGAAUCAGGACUGUGUAUGCAGGAGGGGGAUUUCAGCUCUCUCCUGCUUCCUUUACUCUGCCAAAUUUGAAGUAUGCAUUUUUGAAGCCAGGCUCAUGGACCAAAUGUUAUGCAGCUAAACUCAUUUUACUAUGACUAAGUCGUUCAAAGUUACUACUGAUCUAUGUUGGUUUAAUUAUAGAUUUUCAUGGACUCAUUCCAGAUGGGGCCUAGAUAAAGCAUCAGAAUUUUGUCAUAGGACUUGAUUUGUUAUACAAAGUGUCAUGAAUAUAAUGGCACUGAAUAAAUAAUUUACAGUAGCACGUGUCUCCUCUUAUUUAUAGAGUAUAAAUUGAGAGUUUUACUAAUUUUAUAAAGUUAGUGUGAACAUAUAGAGGGAAAUGUACCAUUCUGGGAGGGCAUGCAGUAUAUUGAAAAUAAGAGAUUAAAAGUGGGAAAUGCAAGCAUUGAAAAUGAAAUUCUUAUAUAAGAUUUAGAUUAGUAAGGACUGUGAAUAGAAUAGUGCAGAUCUGUGGAGUCCAGAUCUCGUAAGACUUACUCAAGUGUGCUUUAAAUCAUGCUGCCAAGACUUACAGUUCUUGGAAGUUCUGAAAGAUCCAGUAACAGACAUUCGACCGUAUUUUUUACUGCCGUUUAAAGUUAUACUGUAUGCAUCUUGAGAGCCCUAGAUAAAGUACAAAUAAAACAAGUAAACAAUUCUAAGAUUUACUAUCUCCAUUGAGAAAUUCAAAUAAAGAGCAAAAUAGUCAAAGCAGUGGUUAAAGAAUGGGAAUCUUUUUUUCUAAUCUCAGCAAAUGACAGGAUGACAAAGAACAAAACUUGAAGAGUACAAAAGGUGAAAAGGAUGUAACAAGGUUGGUCUAAACAUUGGCAUUAAAAUUACAAUGCACAGACGGAUAUGCAGAUUUGAAACUAAACCAUUUUAAUCUUAUAUAUAGAAUAGAAUGACUAUGUGCCAUCUGGAAUUCAGGGAAUCCAAUGAAAGUGGAGGUGUAAACAAUACACACAGCAAUACCAACAUCUGUUUUCAGUGCUUGCUGAUAUAUAUGAGUCUUUGAGGGAUAAGUUGGAGAAAAUAAGUUAGAAAUUGAUAAACCUCAUGAUAGAAAAUGGAUCACACAUAAUUGUAUUUGUUUAGAAAGAAUUUGGAUUUACUCAUGCUAAAAAUAAAUAGCGCAUACAAU